UGAGUACAAGAUGCUACGGCAUUGAAGCAGUCUAUGUCAUACUUCCAAGAAAAGCUUGCAAUGUCAUAAACAAAUAAUGCCUGUACCAUAACCGACACAGGUGGGUAGGUAGAGUAUACUAAGGGGCGCGAGAUAACUCUCUCUAAGGAACUCGGCAAAAUGACUCCGUAACUUCGGGAGAAGGAGUACCUUAUUUUAUAAGGUUGCAAUAACAAGGUCCAAGCAACUGUUUACCAAAAACACAGGUCUCCGCUAAGUCGUAAGACGAUGUAUGGGGGCUGACGCCUGCCCAGUGCCAGAAGGUUAAAGAAGUUGGUUAGCAUUAGCGAAGCUGAUAACUGAAGCCCUGGUGAACGGCGGCCGUAACAAUAACGGUCCUAAGGUAGCGAAAUUCCUUGUCGGGUAAGUUCCGACCCGCACGAAAGGCGUAAUGAUUUGGAUACUGUCUCGGAGAGGGGCUCGGUGAAAUAGACUUGUCUGUGAAGAUGCGGACUACCUGCACCUGGACAGAAAGACCCUAUGAAGCUUUACUGUAACUUGAGAUUGAAAUUGGACUUUAUUUGCGCAGUAUAGGUGGGAGACCUCGAAAGUAUUCUUGCGGGAAUAUUGGAGUCAUCAGUGAGAUACCACUCUUAUAAUGUUAGAUUUCUAACUUUGUAUCAUUAUCUGGUCAAAGAACAGUUUCAGGCGGGCAGUUUGACUGGGGCGGUCGCCUCCCAAAUGGUAACGGAGGCGCACAAAGGUUUCCUCUGAACGUGUAGAAAUCGUAUCUAGAGUGUAAAGGCAUAAGGAAGCUUGACUGUGAGACCUACAAGUCGAGCAGGGACGAAAGUCGGUCUUAGUGAUCUGACGGUGCUGAGUGGAAAGGCCGUCACUCAACGGAUAAAAGUUACUCUAGGAUAACAGGCUGAUCUCCCCCAAGAGUUCACAUCGACGGGGAGGUUUGGCACCUCGAUGUCGGCUCAUCGCAUCCUGGGGCGGUAGUACGUCCCAAGGGUUGGGCUGUUCGCCCAUGAAAGCGGUACGCGAGCUGGGUUCAGAACGUCGUGAGACAGUUCGGUCCAUAUCCGGUGUAGGCGUUAGAAUAUUGAGAGGAGCCUUCUUUAGUACGAGAGGACCGAGAAGGACAUACCUCUGGUGUACCAGUUAUCGUGCCAACGGUAAACGCUGGGUAGCUAUGUAUGGAGAGGAUAACCGCUGAAAGCAUCUAAGUGGGAAGCCCACCUCAAGAUAAG
This 1235-nucleotide ribosomal RNA is filed under the name metagenome. RNAcentral's name for it is "bacterial LSU rRNA". It matches the Rfam family "Bacterial large subunit ribosomal RNA", at positions 1564 to 2808 of the family's 2925-position model. The record is from RNAcentral.